This is a long non-coding RNA of Ostrinia nubilalis (European corn borer), 3709 nucleotides long. RefSeq lists it as uncharacterized. The record is from RefSeq and is a predicted model, not a curated record. The transcript has 2 exons. NCBI's taxonomy places the organism in Eukaryota, Metazoa, Arthropoda, Insecta, Lepidoptera, Crambidae.
CUUCCUCAUUGGCCGUAGAGCAAUUCCAAGUAUACCAUCAAUAAAAGCCUAAUUAGAGUCAUCAAACCUCUCAGUCAUUCAAUUAGAGCCAUUAGAACUUCAUAACUAUGAGUUGUUUUCUAUGUGUAAGCUGAGGACACGUGUCUCCAGCUGACACAUCUGUAUCUUCGUAAAUAUUUAUGCUACGAUAAUGUAUUAUACCUCACAAAUUACAGUCGAAUCCAAAUAGUAGGCUUUCCACUUUUCAAGACUUUAGCUCAAAUACUGUUAAAACCACGAUCAAAAAACUAUGUGCGAGCUGGAGUACCGUGUCUCCAGCUUACACAUCUGUAUCUUCGUAAAUAUUUAAGCUACAUCAAUGUUUUAUAUCUCAUAAAUUAAAGUCGAAUAAAAAAACCCGACUUCAAUUCUUUCAAAGCUUUAUUUCGAACCGUUUUCGAACUACGAACCGAUACGUAUGUGUAAGCUGGUGACACGUAACACACGGUGGAUUAUUAAAACCGUAUAAGUUAGAGUUGCGUUUUAAAGAUCAAAUAAUUCGUUAUAAUUAAAGUACACACGAGACAUAAUUUCAAAUCUCUAGGUCUCUUAGUUUCAGAAUUAAAAGCCAAAAACUAUUUUCCCGCCAAAUAAUUCAAAUAAUAUGGGUCGACUGCGACGUUGCCGUUCCGUGCGUCCACUAGAGCAGUCGAAUUUGAACCUAAAAACUAGUACUGUUUGAAUCAUUUUUAUUUGUAGUUUAAAUCAUUUAAUUUCGAUUAUAAGAAUUUUAGACUAGGAGCCGGCUGAUUUCUGUAUUGAGUACCUAAUAACCUAUAAAAUAUUUUGAUAAUAAGUUUUUAUUUUGAUCACAAUGUUUUAUUUAAUCGAGGCAAAAACAUUGCAUCUAUACUAAUAUUAUAAAUGUGAAAGUAACUUUGUCUUGCUUUCACGCCUAAACCACUGAACCGAUUUUGAUGAAAUUUGGCAUAGAGAUGGUUGAGUCCCGGGAAAGGACGUAGGAUAGAUUUUAUCCCAGUUUUUGAAAUAUGAUAAAGAUUUUCAUCAUUAUCAUAAUCAUCUGAAAAUUAUAAAUAACUUGAAAAAAUCGAGUAUUCGGGUAGCCCUAGUGAUACUCUACCUCUGGGCUUCGGCUUGACAGUACUUUUUGGGAAACCUUGUACAGGUGAACAAUGGUGGCGCCCCCUAUCAAUGUGUUUGGUGGGACAGUUCAGUUUAGUGGGUCUUUUAUAGCUGAGACGGUUCAUUGUUCAAUACAAUCAAUUCUUUCCUCUCUAUUAUUUUAGGUGCCUUAUGUACGUAUAGAUUACGCACAUUCUUUUUAUAUGAACGUAAGGGUGGGAUUUAGGGGGUCACAAAACCGGUUUUACCGAAACCGAAAAAAAAACUGUAUUCAGACAUGGCAAAACCAGGUUAUUCUUGGAAAUAUAAUAGCUAGAAUGAAAUACUAAAAUAACAAUCAAAAACAUUUUUAUUCAGCUUGAUUAUUAUCACAGAUCAAUUAACAUUUUUAAUAAUUAAGGUAGAUACACUUUACUAGAAAUCCGAUGAUCUACGUUCUUGUCGGGUAUCACUAAUGAAAUAAAAUUCCUACUUCAUAAAACUAAUUAAUCAGGUAAAUUAUUUAUCACAGAUCGAUCAACUUUUAAUAACCUAGGUAGGGUAAGGUGGGGCACAAUGUUACACGGGGUACAAUGUUACAAUGCAUAUUUCUCCGUCCCUUUCUAUUAGUUGUAUGAUGUUGGUAUACACGUUUGUCAAGCUCAUAAGAGCUGCUGAACUGAGCCGCUGAACAUCAUACAACUAAUAGAAAGGGACGGAGAAAUAUGCAUUGUAACAUUGUACCCCGUGUAACAUUGUGCCCCACCUUACCCUAUACUUUACUGUGUAGUAGAAUACUGGUGAUCCACGGUCGGGUCGGGGAGGUUUCCGGCUUUUUUUUUUUUUUUUUGAAGGGACGCGCGCUGGUAGCUGGAGGAGCUUUUCCAGCUUCACCGGGCAGAGUGGCGAGUACAGAAGGUACUCUAGCCGUUUGGCGAUCGUCGGUGCGCGUGCCGACGAGGCCGAGUGUGGGCUUCGCGAAGCGAAAGCGAAGACGUUCGCGAUCGGGCCGUAGAUUCCGGCUACUGGGACCGCAAUUAACUGGGACAGUGGUCCCAGUCGCUGGAUCGAUAAAAAUUAAAUAUUUUUCUUCCAGCGACUAGGUUCACUCAUAGAUAACUUAAAAAAAUAUAUUAUUCAAGCCAAAAUCGGUAUCGUACUAAAAGGACAAUGACCAAAAGUGGUCCAAAUGUCCACCACUAAUGAGACCUAUAUUGGCUUAUGGUCCAUUAAAUAGAGAUUAAGUUUCAGUAUGGGACGAAAAAUAAAUAAACUGUCAGUAAAAAGUUAUGACUGUAUGAAAAAUUGUAGUAGUUUACGCGCUAAUCUCAGGAACUACUGGUCCGAUUUGAAAAAUUAUUUUUGUUAUGGAUAGCCCAUUUAUCAAGGAUGGUUUUAGGUUAUAUUAUAACAUCACCCUACAACCAAUAGGGGCGGAGCAGCGACCACCCGACCAUAAUUCCAAUAUUGUUGUCUUUCUUCUGAGUUUUUUUUUUUCUUUUAGCGAGAAUCUAACACGGCACACUAAGCGACAUGACAUAAUAUGCAUAGAUUAGUCCGAAAUGUGCGAUGGAUAGAAUGAUAUCAAGAACAUUAAUUUUCAGAUGAAAAGGUAAAAACAUGACUUUUCAUUCAGUCAUAACUUUUUACUGACAGCAUAUUUUUGAUUGCGGUUUGGUUAUAAUGAAUCAGUAUUUAGUAGACUAUUUUACUACAUAGGUAGGUGGUGGUUGACAUUUGGACCACACUCCAUACAUUUUUGGUCAUUGUCCUUUAUGAAUGGUCCCAGAAAAGUAUUUAAUUUUUACUGAUCUGGCGAUUGGGACCGCGGUCCUAGUUGAUUGCGGUCCCAGUUGGCGGAAACCUCGGGUCGGGUAUCACUCAUCCAUCAGAGAUUCGUAAAUCUAAUUAAUCUAUUUAAUUACCACAGAUAAAUCAUAUUUUACUAACUAAAUCACCUAAAAGUAACCUUUUCAUUAGUGUAACCUAAAAGUAAACCAAAGCAGUUCAAAAAUCAGCUAAAAGGUUACAAAAGUAACCUUCUGGCAACACUGACUGUUUCUCAAUCAUAAAUAGAGCAACAAAGAAUGAGCGAGCGAGAUGUCACUAUCUGCAACCCUGUGUGAUAAAAAGAGAUGUGUGAUGCUAUCAUCGUCACGUCAAUAGAACCAUUUUUGCAAAAGAUUUGACAGGCAGUGACACAUAGAGGCACAAAGAAAAUUUUAAAUUAUAGUUUUUUAUAAAAAUAUCGUAAAAUCCUGUUUAUUUUUGGAAAGUUUGUUUUCUUAUAUAAUGGUGACCUGUUCCGUCUUUGAUUGUGAUGUACACCAAAGGAAUAAUCCUGCAAAAUAUUCAUUUCACAGAUGUUUGUACUGUGCGGGAAUCGAACCCGCUACCUCCGGAAUAGUAGUCCGUUUCAAACCACUACACUAUACGGCCAACAACGAUUAUUACAUCGUUAGAAUCCUAUUUUCUUACGUUAUCGUCAGAAUUAUCAUUUUUUAAUUAUUGUUUUACUCCUACUAAUAUUAUAAAUGCGAAAGUUUGUAUGGAUGUCUUGAUGUUUGUAACUCUCAUUCUUCCAAAUAAAUAAGUUGAAUAAUUUUAA